This 794-nucleotide ribosomal RNA is filed under the name uncultured archaeon. RNAcentral describes it as "bacterial SSU rRNA". It matches the Rfam family "Archaeal small subunit ribosomal RNA", at positions 85 to 879 of the family's 1478-position model. The record is from RNAcentral.
ACUGCUCAGUAACACGUAGCUAACCUACCCUUGAGUCGGGGAUAACCUCGGGAAACUGAGGCUAAUACCCGAUACUGGAUUUACCCUGGAAUGGUUAAUCCAUGAAACUCGUGCUCAAGGAUGGGGCUGCGGCGGAUUAGGUUGUUGGCGGGGUAACUGCCCACCAAGCCGACGAUCCGUAAGGGCUCCUAGCGGAGAGGCCCUGAGAGGGAGUCUGAGAUACUACUCCCAGCCCUACGGGGUGCAGCAGCCGGGAAUCUUCUGCAAUACACGAAAGUGUGACAGAGCGAACCAGAGUGUUCCUCAUUGAGGAACUUUUGCCAAAUCUAAAAAGUUUGGCGAAUAAGGACUGGGCAAGACUAGUGCCAGCCGCCGCGGUAAUACUAGCUGUCCAAGUCGCAACCAUCUUUAUUGGGUCUAAAACAUCCGUAGCUUGCUUAGUAAGUUCUUUGUGAAAUCCUGUCUCUCAAGGGCAGGGCGUGCAAGGAAUACUGCUUCGCUAGAGACUGGAAGACGUAAGAAGUACGUUUGAAGUAGCGGUUAAAUGCGUUAAUCUUAGACGGACUCACAACAGCGAAGGCAUCUUACGAGGACAGAUCUGACUAGUGAGGGAUGAAGGCCUAGGGGCGCAAAACGGAUUAGAUACCCGUGUAGUCCUGGCUAGUAAACUACUGCACUACUAAACAUCUAGUACCUCUUCGUGAGGCUAUUGGUGCUUGAGGGAAGCCGAAGAGUGUGCUACCUGGGAAGUAUAGUCGCAAGACCGAAACUUAAAGGAAUUGGCGGGGGAGCAC